UGGGAUGGUCCUGUGUCACU
Molecule: microRNA, 20 nt
Filed under: Bos taurus (domestic cattle)
Lineage: Eukaryota; Metazoa; Chordata; Mammalia; Artiodactyla; Bovidae
Description: bta-miR-12062
Source: miRBase by way of RNAcentral